Gadus chalcogrammus (walleye pollock) is the source of this 296-nucleotide long non-coding RNA. RefSeq lists it as uncharacterized. The transcript is spliced from 3 exons. The record is from RefSeq and is a predicted model, not a curated record. Lineage: Eukaryota; Metazoa; Chordata; Actinopteri; Gadiformes; Gadidae.
UCUCUCUGUUUCUUCACAUUUCACCCCAUCAGGACACCUAUGAAACAACAGGCUUCUGCAGCUGAUUGGAUGAGCGGAGACAGAGAAUGUAUUUAAAUAGAGCCCUAUUCAUCUAGGUCUACUACAUCCCCACUGGGUUUCCUUACACUGCUGGAGACGCAGCUUCACUGCUCCAACAACGCGUUCUCACUGACUUGAGCUCUCUGACAGAGAUGAAAGAUGAGUGAGGCGCUCAGACGAGAGCGACGAGUCGAGCCAAGGCUACAGAGGGGGCUACAGAGGGGGCUACAGAGGGG